Long non-coding RNA from Strigops habroptila (Kakapo), 340 nucleotides. RefSeq lists it as uncharacterized. The transcript has 3 exons. The record is from RefSeq and is a predicted model, not a curated record. Lineage: Eukaryota; Metazoa; Chordata; Aves; Psittaciformes; Psittacidae.
GGUGUCCCAGCCCGUGGCAGGGGGUUGGAACUGGAUGAGCUUUAAGGCCCUUCCAACACAAACCAGUCUGGAAUUCUAUAUGUGGAGCCAUUCUCCAUGACUCCAAGAAAAAGAUGAUGGUGCAUCAUCCAUCCUUGUCUACUGAGGUUUCAGCUGCUGGCACAGUUGGGGCUAGAGUCCAUGCAUCUCAAGCAACUCCCUCUAGGACAGAAGCAGCUAAAGAGGAGGAAGCCCUGAAAAGCCUCAUGGACAUUCUGCAGCAAGUAAGUUCAUAGCUUACUUAAGUGUGAGGGUGCUGAGGCGCUGGCACAGGGUGCCCAGAGAAGCUGUGGCUGCCCCA